CGAGUAGUCCUAGCCGUAAACGCUGUGUACUAGAUGUUACGUAUUCCACGUGGAUAUGUAGUGUCGGAGCGAAGGCAUUAAGUACACCGCCUGGGAAGUACGGUCGCAAGGCUGAAACUUAAAGGAAUUGGCGGGGGAGCACCACAAGGGGUGCGGCGUGCGGUUUAAUCUAACUUCACGCAGAGAAUCUCACCAGCAGCGACGGCAGAAUGAAGGUCAGAUUAAAUGUCUUACCCAACGAGCCGAGAGGUAGUGCAUGGCCGUCGUCAGCUCGUGCCGUAAGGUGUCCUCUUAAGUGAGGUAACGAGCGAGACCCAUACCCAUAAUUGCUAGCAGGUCCUUUUGGAUGACUGAGCACCUUAUGGGGACUGCUGUGGAAACGCAGAGGAAGGUGUGGGCUACGAUAGGUCUGUAUGCUCCGAAUCUGCUGGGCUACACGCGCGCAACAAUGGCGAGGACAAUGGGCUGCCACACCGAAAGGUGAAGCCAAACCUCGAAACCUCGUCUUAGUUUAGAUUGAUGGCUGUAAUUCGCCCUCAUGACAACGGAAUCCCUAGUAAUCGGACUUCAACAUGGUCCGGUGAAUAUGUCCCUGCUCUUUGCACACACCGCCCGUCAAACCAACCGAGUUGGGU
This 635-nucleotide ribosomal RNA is filed under the name marine metagenome. RNAcentral describes it as "bacterial SSU rRNA". It matches the Rfam family "Archaeal small subunit ribosomal RNA", at positions 738 to 1372 of the family's 1478-position model. The record is from RNAcentral.